ACUUGGGUGGCUCAGUCAGUUAAGCACCUGACUUUGGCUCAGGUCAUGAUCUCAUGGUUUGUGAGUUCGAGUCCCACUUUGGGUG
RNAcentral lists this transfer RNA (85 nucleotides) under Felis catus (domestic cat). It matches the Rfam family "tRNA". Rfam says of the family: Transfer RNA (tRNA) molecules are approximately 80 nucleotides in length. Their secondary structure includes four short double-helical elements and three loops (D, anti-codon, and T loops). The record is from Rfam by way of RNAcentral. Lineage: Eukaryota; Metazoa; Chordata; Mammalia; Carnivora; Felidae. RNAcentral also lists the same sequence under 5 other names.